UACGUAGGGACCAAGCGUUGUUCGGAUUUACUGGGCGUAAAGGGCGCGUAGGCGGCUUAACAAGUCACUUGUGAAAUCUCCGGGCUUAACUCGGAACGGCCAAGUGAAACUGUCAAGCUAGAGUGCAGAAGGGGCAAACGGAAUUCUUGGUGUAGCGGUGAAAUGCGUAGAUAUCAAGAGGAACACCUGAGGUGAAGACGGGUUGCUGGGCUGACACUGACGCUGAGGCGCGAAAGCCAGGGGAGCAAACGGG
Molecule: ribosomal RNA, 253 nt
Filed under: uncultured bacterium
Lineage: Bacteria
Description: partial 16S ribosomal RNA
Rfam family: Bacterial small subunit ribosomal RNA
Source: RNAcentral